This 468-nucleotide ribosomal RNA is filed under the name uncultured bacterium. RNAcentral's name for it is "partial 16S ribosomal RNA". It matches the Rfam family "Bacterial small subunit ribosomal RNA", at positions 28 to 507 of the family's 1533-position model. The record is from RNAcentral.
GACGAACGCUGGCGGCGUGCUUAACACAUGCAAGUCGAACGGAAAGGCCCUGCUUUUGUGGGGUGCUCGAGUGGCGAACGGGUGAGUAACACGUGAGUAACCUGCCCUUGACUUUGGGAUAACUUCAGGAAACUGGGGCUAAUACCGGAUAGGAGCUCCUGCUGCAAGGUGGGGGUUGGAAAGUUUCGGCGGUUGGGGAUGGACUCGCGGCUUAUCAGCUUGUUGGUGGGGUAGUGGCUUACCAAGGCUGUGACGGGUAGCAGUCCUAAGAGGGUGACCGGCCACAUCGGGACUACGAACCGGCCCAUACUCCUCCGGGGGGCAGCAGUGGGGAUUAUUGCACACUGGGCGGUAGCCGGUUUCAGCAACGCCGCGUGCGGGAUGACGGCCAUCGGAUUGUAAACCGCUUUUGCCUGUGACGAAGCGUGAGUGACGGUAAUGGGUAAAGAAGCACCGGCUAACUACGUG